GCGGCCGCUCUGUUUGUUCCCGCCAGAGGUUACUGCUAUCGAGGUUCGACUAAGCCAUGCGAGUCGAAUGUAGCAAUACAUGGCGUACUGCUCAGUAACACGUGGACAACCUACCCUUCGGUCGGGGAUAAACCCGGGAAACUGGGUAUAAUACCCGAUAGAGCUCGAAUGCUGGGAUGCGUUGAGCUCGAAAGCUCCGGUGCCUAAGGAUGGGUCUGCGGCCUAUCAGGGUAGUAGUGGGUGUAACGUACCUACUAGCCUACGACGGGUACGGGUUGUGAGAGCAAGAGCCCGGAGAUGGAUUCUGAGACACGAGUCCCAGGCCCUACGGGGUGCAGCAGGCGCGAAAACUUUACAAUGCCGGCAACGGCGAUAAGGGAACCUCGAGUGCCAGGUUACAAAUCUGGCUGUCGUGAUGCCUAAAAAGCAUUGCAUAGCAAGGGCCGGGCAAGACCGGUGCCAGCCGCCGCGGUAACACCGGCGGCUCGAGUGGUAACCGUUAUUAUUGGGUCUAAUGGGUCUGUAGCCGGCUGGAUAAGUCUCUUGGGAAAUCCGGCAGCUCAACUGUCGGGCUUUCAGGAGAUACUGUCCGGCUCGAGACCGGGAGAGGUGAGAGGUACUUCAGGGGUAGGGGUGAAAUCUUGUAAUCCUUGAAGGACCACCAGUGUGCGAAGGCGUCUCACCAGAACUGGAUCUGACGGCAAGGGACGAUAAGCUAGGGGCACGAACCGGAUUAGAUACCCGGGUAGUCCUAGCCGUAAACGAUACUCGCUAGGUGUCGGCCACGGUGCGACCGUGGUCGGUGCCGUAGGGAAGCCGUGAAGCGAGCCACCUGGGAAGUACGGCCGCAAGGCUGAAACUUAAAGGAAUUGGCGGGGGAGCACUACAACGGGUGGAGCUUGCGGUUUAAUUGGAUUCAACGCGGGAAAUCUCACCGGGACCGACAGCAAUAUGAAGGCCAGGCUGAAGACCUUGCCGGAUUAGCUGAGAGGUGGUGCAUGGCCGUCGUCAGUUCGUACCGUGAAGCAUCCUGUUAAGUCAGGCAACGAGCGAGACCC
This 1058-nucleotide ribosomal RNA is filed under the name uncultured archaeon. Its description in RNAcentral is "bacterial SSU rRNA". It matches the Rfam family "Archaeal small subunit ribosomal RNA", at positions 1 to 1053 of the family's 1478-position model. The record is from RNAcentral.